GACGAACGCUGGCGGCGUGCUUAACACAUGCAAGUCGAACGCUGAAGCUCAGCUUUUGUUGGGUGGAUGAGUGGCGAACGGGUGAGUAACACGUGAGUAACCUGCCCCCUUCUUUGGGAUAACGCCCGGAAACGGGUGCUAAUACUGGAUAUUCACUGGUCUUCGCAUGGGGGUUGGUGGAAAGGGUUUUUCUGGUGGGGGAUGGGCUCGCGGCCUAUCAGCUUGUUGGUGGGGUGAUGGCCUACCAAGGCUUUGACGGGUAGCCGGCCUGAGAGGGUGACCGGUCACAUUGGGACUGAGAUACGGCCCAGACUCCUACGGGAGGCAGCAGUGGGGAAUAUUGCACAAUGGGCGCAAGCCUGAUGCAGCGACGCCGCGUGAGGGAUGGAGGCCUUAGGGUUGUGAACCUCUUUCGCUCAUGGUCAAGCCGCAACAAUGGUUGUGGUGAGGGUAGUGGGUAAAGAAGCCCCGGCUAACUACGUG
This 483-nucleotide ribosomal RNA is filed under the name uncultured bacterium. Its description in RNAcentral is "partial 16S ribosomal RNA". It matches the Rfam family "Bacterial small subunit ribosomal RNA", at positions 28 to 507 of the family's 1533-position model. The record is from RNAcentral.